This 500-nucleotide ribosomal RNA is filed under the name uncultured Glomeromycotina. Its description in RNAcentral is "partial small subunit ribosomal RNA". It matches the Rfam family "Eukaryotic small subunit ribosomal RNA", at positions 591 to 1092 of the family's 1831-position model. Lineage: Eukaryota; Fungi; Glomeromycota. The record is from RNAcentral.
CCAAUAGCGUAUAUUAAAGUUGUUGCAGUUAAAAAGCUCGUAGUUGAAUUUCGGGGUCAGCAGGUUGGUCGUGCCAAUGGUAUGCACUGGCCUUGCUGAUUCCUCCCUCUUGAUGAGCCGUAAUGCCAUUAAUUUGGUGUUGCGGGGAAUCAGGACUGUUACUUUGAAAAAAUUAGAGUGUUUAAAGCAGGCAAGCGCUUGAAUACAUUAGCAUGGAAUAAUGAAAUAGGACGUUCGAUCCUAUUUUGUUGGUUUCUAGGAUUGACGUAAUGAUUAAUAGGGAUAGUUGGGGGCAUUAGUAUUCAAUUGUCAGAGGUGAAAUUCUUGGAUUUAUUGGAGACUAACUACUGCGAAAGCAUUUGCCGAGGAUGUUUUCAUUAAUCAAGAACGAAAGUUAGGGGAUCGAAGACGAUCAGAUACCGUCGUAGUCUUAACCAUAAACUAUGCCGACUAGGGAUCGGAUGAUGUUAAUUUUUUAAUGACUCAUUCGGCGCCUUACG